Molecule: long non-coding RNA, 1859 nt
Filed under: Zostera marina
Lineage: Eukaryota; Viridiplantae; Streptophyta; Magnoliopsida; Alismatales; Zosteraceae
Description: long non-coding RNA (ZMAR_LNC004265)
Source: RNAcentral
UGUUUUGCUUCGGAUAGAAGCUCUACCUGCUUUUGUAGUUUUUCUAAUUUCCGCAGAAGGCGUUCUACCCUAUAACGUCUUCUUUCUUCUUCCUCGAUCUCGCAUCGAUGGCCACGGGAGAGCUCUGAUUCCUUUCUCCUUUUCUUCCUGGGCUUCGUCGUUUUUCGUGUUGGGGAUUUGCCUCAACGUGUUUCCCCAUGAUCGUUUCUUCAUAUUUUUCUAGCCGUACUUCAUGGUUAGCCGGUGUCGUUGUUACUGCGGCGCCAUUUGUUUCUUCUUCUUCCAGAGGUUGAGCUGAGAUUUCUUUUCCAGAUGUUGGGCUCCUAAUUUUCUCCUCCGUGAAUGGCUAUGUGAGGUCGAGUGAUGGAACGUUCACGUCCGGUUCACCAAUGUUGGAGUUCAUGUUCGAGGGAUUGGGUUUGGGUAGAAUAAUUGGGUCUUCAAGUUAGCGAGAGUUGGUAGUGGAGUAUGAAUUUCUUAUCCUCGCAGUGCAGCCGGGCGGAGACUUUUAUAGCUGCUUUGGUUCACUUAGAUCGCGGUAGCUGUCCGACCAGGUGUCCUUGUUGUUUUGACACCUGGUAGGUUAGGCGUCGGGCUGUAAUUGGGUGGGUAUAAAUGGUGUUUGACCCCUAAACACUAAUGCAAUUUCAAGUGAGUUUUUCUUGUCACUUGUGCAAUUUUAGGGUUUCAUUUCCCUAAAAAUUCAUCAUCAUCACUAUGUCUGUAAAUUUAAAUUUGCAAAUGUGUGAUACAGACAAUGAAGUAUGGACUAUUCAGUAAUAGUAUUUGACACUUCACUGACUAGUCAAACACUUGGGCUAUUGCAGUUUCCAUCAAAUUUAGAAAAGGAUCUAUCGAUCCAAGAUUACGGGCUUGUAGAAUAGAUUGGGUAGUUUGCUGACUGAGGUAUUAUAUAUUUGUAUUAUAGUUUGAGACAAAUAGAUUGAAAAUUAAUUUACACAAAAUCAAUAAUUCUAUGGGUUGAUCAUUGAGAGCAAAAAACACUAUCAAUUUUCUAAUUUUCUUCUUGUUCUUCAUGUUUUACUUCACUGCAGGCUACACGACUAAGGAUGCAGUACUAAGGAAGCUGAGGGAAUGAAAGAUGUGAUAGAAAAAGUUAAUAAACAAUUGAAAGAUCUAGUGAGUUUUGUUUUGAAAGGCAAUUUUAUAAAAUAAAAGUAGGCGACCUAUAUCCAACAAAAUAAAACAGUAGAUAGAAUGGGUGAUUAAAGAGAGUGAUUAGAUUGGCUCUAUUACAAACUUAUGCCUAAAGUAAAUCAUAAACUCACUUGUUAGUACAAACUAUUUUAAUUGCUAAUUUUUUGAAAGCAUUUUAAUUGAUAAUUAACUACUAUUAAUAAAGGAUACAAUUUUUUAGCUUCACUGGUAAUUUCUUCUCUCGCAAUGUCAUUCCUUCAGCUAAACGUGUUUGUAUUCCUUGAUCAAUCUAAUCAGUAAUUGAAUCUUGAAACUCCUCUGAAUCACUGUAGCAUUCUGAAUUAUCUAAAUCUUCUGCUGCAGAAUCCAAAUCCUCAGACUGUUGUUUCCUCUCUAUUAAUAAAAAUUUUAAUAUCUUUGUUGAUCAAUUAAUUCUGCUGGUAAUAUGAUACUCACUGCCAUACUAUCUUUUUUGCUCGAUUUAUAAUUUUUCUGAAUUAUGUAUUGACAACAUUUUUUUUGUGAUUUCUGAACACUCCCAUAAUAUGAGAUCAACUCACAUAAUUUUUCUAAACAUGAGAUCAACUCACAUAAUAUAAAUUAUAAAUCAAGUUUUAUUAAGAAGGUUGGUAGUUGUAUUAUAAACUCCAUCUACCUAUCAUUAUCAAACAGUUCUUUAUAUUUUUUACUGUCUUUUUUAA